Molecule: ribosomal RNA, 253 nt
Filed under: uncultured bacterium
Lineage: Bacteria
Description: partial 16S ribosomal RNA
Rfam family: Bacterial small subunit ribosomal RNA
Source: RNAcentral
GACGUAGGAUGCAAGCGCUGUCCGGAUUUAUUGGGCGUAAAGAGUUCGUAGGCGGCAUAUCAAGUCUGGUGUUAAAUCCCGAUGCUCAACAUCGGUUCGGCACUGGAUACUGAUAAGCUAGAGUACAGUAGAGGCAAGGGGAAUUCCCAGUGUAGCGGUGAAAUGCGUAGAUAUUGGGAGGAACACCAGUGGCGUAAGCGCCUUGCUGUGCUGUUACUGACGCUGAGGAAAGAAAGACACGGGCGCAAAUGGG